AGACGUCUACAUUAGAUACCCCCGUAGUCCCAGCCGUAAACUAUGCGCGUUAGGUGUACUGGUGACCACGAGUCACCGGGGUGCCGAAGGGAAACCGUGAAACGUGCCGCCUGGGAAGUACGGUCGCAAGGCUGAAACUUAAAGGAAUUGGCGGGGAGCACCACAACGGGUGGAGCCUGCGGUUUAAUUGGACUCAACGCCGGGAAGCUCACCGGAUAAGACAGCGGAAUGAUUGCCGGGCUGAAGACUCUGCAUGACUAGCUG
This 264-nucleotide ribosomal RNA is filed under the name uncultured archaeon. RNAcentral describes it as "partial 16S ribosomal RNA". It matches the Rfam family "Archaeal small subunit ribosomal RNA", at positions 714 to 982 of the family's 1478-position model. The record is from RNAcentral.